Molecule: long non-coding RNA, 233 nt
Filed under: Homo sapiens (human)
Lineage: Eukaryota; Metazoa; Chordata; Mammalia; Primates; Hominidae
Description: HSALNT0344889
Source: RNAcentral
UUGAGGUCUUCCAGCCCCUAAAACUGGCAAUGAGGGCUUCCAUUCUGGCUCUUCACCAUGAUAACCUUGGGGGCUUCCUGGAUUUAAAACCCAGGAAAGCAGGGGUUGAGAAGGGAGAGCCUUUGACCAUGGUCUCUAGCAGUUUUUCACUCUCCUAAAUGUCCACGUUCAGCCUCCAGCAAGUUGUCGAAAUCACCAGACAAGGUUUUGCUGUAUUGCCUACUACACUGGAG